Long non-coding RNA from Triticum aestivum (bread wheat), 3822 nucleotides. RefSeq lists it as uncharacterized. The transcript is spliced from 6 exons. The record is from RefSeq and is a predicted model, not a curated record. Lineage: Eukaryota; Viridiplantae; Streptophyta; Magnoliopsida; Poales; Poaceae.
ACCACUUCCCACGCAGAAAAAAACCACCCCUGCACAAAAAACUCUCCUCUCCACCCCAUCUCCGAUCUCCCUGCCGCCGACUCUUCGUAGCCGCCGCCCACGUGCGAACUCGUUCGUUGCCGCCGCCGCCGUCCGAGGGGAGACGCCGCCGUCGCGUCUCCAGGCAGGGCGGCUUGAAUCCCUGUCGCCGGGAUCGCCCCGCCGAACUCCGGGCCAUGGCGAGAUCCAGCAGGCCAUGGCGGCGACCAGCGCCGGGAUAGGACCAGGAGGCCGCCGGCGUCUCCCUGAUCCGUGACCCCGACGCCAUGGAGCUGCUCGUCAAGGCACGCAGGCACGCGCGGGUCCAGCGGCAGGAAGGGCACAGAGGAGGACCGAGCUCGCCGGUGCGCGUGGCCAAGGGAUGUAGCUGCCCGGAGCUACUUCGCCCUCGACGAAGAGGAGACCGCGGGCCAGAGCUCCUGGUCUCCCAGGGCCGCCGAGCGCAAGGAACUAUUGCCAUGGCACCUCCUCGCUCGCCCUCGGUGCAGCGGCCGUGUAUAUGGAAUUGUGCCCUGGUGGGGGCUCCGAGGGAGGAAACCGACUAGCACAAGGCGCUACUGCCAUAGCGUCCGGAGGGAGGCAUGACGCGCAGGGCUACAGGGAAUCCGCCGACGACAUAUGUGGCUUCUCCUACGCCUGAUGGUGCUGUCAUUGCAGCGGCGGCAGCGGAUCUGAGUCCCACCCGUUGGGAUCGAACGACAGAUGGCGUGAGGCAGUUGGAUGCGAGUCCCACUCCCAACCUGAGGGCUCGACCUUCUCGAUUCCUGGCUGCGGCGGGUGUGGAACUCCGAAGUGACGGUGAACUCGCCGGCGUCGCACUGCCCCCACACAAGCGCCAUCAGGUCUGCAAGCUCUGGUCGCUUGUCUUGAUAUCAGCCAUGUAAUCAUAUCUCACUUCAUUGUGCAAUCUUGUUUCUGAUUCUUGGAUCUUGGACAUCUGAAAUUCUUUGUUUGGAAGCAUAUUUUUUCAGAUUGUUUCAUCUUAGUUUAUUGACAACAAAAUUGUUAACCUUUCUUAAUCUUUGGUUGGACCAACUAAUUCACAAGCUUUUAGGUCAGAAUUUUCACGAGUACUCACUUAGGCUAUAGUUUUUCCUUUUCUUUUCUUUAACUCCCAGAAAAACAACAGCGUGCAUUGCAUCAUAUUAACCACUUGAUAUUACAGUGAUCAAUAUAUAGGAAUUUCAAUGCAAGAAACAACUAAUAAGGUUGCUGAAAGGGUUAGGAUUUGAACUUAAGGUUUUUUUCUUGCUUAGCACUUCAGUCUAUUGAAUUAAAUAGUUGCAUAUCUCUUCUGUUAUAAUUGGAUUUUUGCAAAGAUCUUUUCAGACUAAGAGAUCACGGGCUUAUUGGCUUAAGCAAAUGAUCAAAUCCUUGGGCACUGAUAAAAAAUACUGAUGUGUGUGUGUUUGUGUGGUGGCAGCUGGCAUGUGAGUUUGCACUGACACAUCUAAAUAUGUUUUCUUAACAAUUAGUGAUCAGGGCAACACUGCAACUCGUUUGUUGUGCAUGCACACUAAAUAUGUUUGACACAACUGAUGUUAAAUUGUUAGAGUAUUCACGCUCCCGUUGCGACGCACGGGUGAUUACCAGAUGAGUGUGAUAUGGUAUAUUUCAAAUUUUUGUGCAGUUGCAUCAGCUACGACUUGUAAGGUAUAACUUUGGGACUGUAUAUAGAGAAAAAAGUGUUUUUUCUGCACUACACACUUAAAUCAUUAUAUUGCUAAUGCAAGUGAACAAUCAGCAUUUCUUAUUGAGCCAUGCUAAUGUUUCUCUUUGUUUAAUUGCGUACUCCUUUUGUUUACUUCUUCAGAAAGCACUUCGCUCUGUUGCACACAAGCAAUAGCUAUUUCUGCACCAAUCUGUCCGAAGAUAUGAAGUUUGAACCAGCCCUUAGCUUGCAUUUGGUCAGUUCAUCUUUCAGGAGAAUAUGCAUCUUACUUAGUUCGAGGUGAAAUUUUGUUUGUUGCAUCAGGAAUCAAAAAAAUAUGGUGCCUCCGUAUCUUUAUAUAAAGUCCUUAUUAUAUAUGUUGCUUGCUUCCAUUGAAUUGGAUGUAACAUUGUGUACACUUAAUGUCGAGACUAAUGUCUAUCGCCAAUUUCAGUAUAGUCGAAACAUAUUGAUGGCACUGAAAAUGAUUCUGCUUUUGCAGGUCUGACGUGACUCUUCUUUGUACGUAUGUAAUUGGUUUAUUUCUUGAUAGGGUGGUACUCUCUGAAUUUCUUGAUGAGUGUUCCCGUUGCUGCACUGCAUUGUGGCCGAGUCCUCUUCUUGGCCAUGCCAGUGACAUGAGCAGGAUGGUGUAUACCAGCUUCCCAGACAUGUGUCUGUCGAGGACGCACCGGGUUUGUGGAGGUGAUGGCACGAGUAUUUACCAGGAUGCUUGGAGAUGCGUUGGCAUAUGUCUAGAACAACCUGGUCCACGCAUGGGGUCUGACUUGAAUAUUUCAGGAGAUGACUAGAUGUAAAUCUGACUUUCAGAUAAUACAUCUGUGAAUUACGCAGAAUCAUAUAGAGCAGAUGGGCAUCGUUGACACGUAGUGCAUGACACAUUGCACGAUUAACAUGCUCUUAGGCCAGCUAAGUAACAUAAGACAACUUUUGUAUGAAGAUCGGUUGUUCGGUUUCAUUCUGACAGUUUAGAAGCUUUUGUUUGGCGUUUCUCUCAGCCGGAUAAUAGAGAAAAAGAGACUUACGCAGGCAUCAAGGCUCUUUGAAGUCAUAAUAUCCAGCAUCACCUUCAAAUGUCGACGUUCUACCAUGAUUGUGCAAUAUAUUUCAAGGCCCAUGAUAAAACUGAAAGAGCAUCAAGGGUUUUACAGGUCAUGGUGGCUGGGUUUUGCUGGCGUUGUGGUCCAUGCAUACCAAUUCUUUGAAUCAGUGCCACCGUGCAGUGAUGUAAGAAAAAAGUGUGUCGUUUGUCGACUGUGGGCAAUGGAGUGAUGUAGAUGUACUGUAGAGUACAUAUUCAAGGGAACUGUGAGGUGACUUAGAUAGCUGUAAUGAGCUGAUGGAGCCUUUGACCUGAAGUUAUAUUUGUAUAGAUUACAUGAUUUGUUGAUGAGGAUAAGAAAGAGGAGCUGAUGGCAAACAAACCGAGGAAAGUCACCGAAGAUUGAGGUUGGGUGCGAUGCCACAUCAGAAGGUAUUUAGGCUAUGGGUGAGUUAGGGGCCAUGGAGCGAGCCGAUAGGAGGGUCGAGUAUGGUGCAUACAUGUCAACGUUGGUAGUCAGAACUUGAUGCUGAGUGCGGAUGGGAAUGAUGGGGUGAGGAUGGGCAUGCUUUAGUCCAGCAAUUUAUCAUUGCCAAAUGGUUCAAUCCCGGUGAUGUCAUUGCUGGAUAUGCAAGGUCUCAUUGGGCAAGGUAUUCGAAGUUCUUAAGUGCCUAGGAACCUAGCUGUGCUUUUGUAUUGACGUGAUUAGCAAGUGUAUUUACCGAAGCAUAGAUGUAAUGUGGGUUAUGUGUAGCACCGAAUCUGAGAUGGCUGCAAUCCAGUCGGUUCUGGCAUUGGAGAGUUACGAGUGAAUCAGACUUAAUCAGAUGGCAUCAACACUGUUAAUCAUUGGAAGGUCUGCCGAGCGUUUGAGACGAGAAGCAUGGUGCCAAUACAUACUUUUGGUUCUUAACCCAGAUGAUCUCAUUUAAAGUUGUUGGCGUUUGUUAUAAUCAUUCUUGAUGAGCUGCACAACGCUUCAUGUAUUGCACUACUAAUGUGUUUAUUUGGUGGUCAAACUCCUGUUCCACUCCUAUAUAGAUGCUAUGAAAAUAAUUUGUUUUGUUUA